This 497-nucleotide ribosomal RNA is filed under the name uncultured bacterium. Its description in RNAcentral is "partial 16S ribosomal RNA". It matches the Rfam family "Bacterial small subunit ribosomal RNA", at positions 28 to 508 of the family's 1533-position model. The record is from RNAcentral.
GAUGAACGCUGGCGGCGUGCCUAAUACAUGCAAGUCGAGCGAACGGACGAGAAGCUUGCUUCUCUGAUGUUAGCGGCGGACGGGUGAGUAACACGUGGAUAACCUACCUAUAAGACUGGGAUAACUUCGGGAAACCGGAGCUAAUACCGGAUGAUAUUUUGAACCGCAUGGUUCAAAAGUGAAAGACGGUCUUGCUGUCACUUAUAGAUGGAUCCGCGCUGCAUUAGCUAGUUGGUAAGGUAACGGCUUACCAAGGCAACGAUGCAUAGCCGACCUGAGAGGUGGAUCGGCCCAACGGGACAGGAGCCCCGUACCAGACCCCGCAGGGAGGAAGCAGUGGGGAAUUUUCGCCAAGGGGCGAAACCUGGCCGGAGCAACCCGGGGGGGUUGAUGAGGUUCUUCGGUUCUAAAAACCUUUUUAUGGGGAAAGAAAAUAUGUUAAAUAACAUGUGCACUUCUUGACGGUACCAAAUAGAAAGGCAAGGACAAGGUAGGUC